Molecule: ribosomal RNA, 727 nt
Filed under: uncultured soil bacterium
Lineage: Bacteria
Description: bacterial SSU rRNA
Rfam family: Bacterial small subunit ribosomal RNA
Source: RNAcentral
UGGCGGCGUGCCUAACACAUGCAAGUCGCGGGAGAAAGUGACCUUCGGGUCGCGAGUAAACCGGCGCACGGGUGAGUAACACGUAGGUAACGUACCUUCGAACCUGGGAUAACCAGUCGAAAGAUUGGCUAAUACCGGAUACGACCGAGAGGACUUCGGCCCUCACGGUGAAAGGCGGCCUCUGCUUGCAAGCUGUCAUUCGAAGAGCGGCCUGCGCACCAUUAGCUAGUUGGUGAGGUAACGGCUCACCAAGGCGACGAUCGGUAGCUGGUCUGAGAGGAUGACCAGCCUCACUGGGACUGAGACACGGCCCAGACUCCUACGGGAAGCAGCAGUGGGGAAUAUUGGACAAUGGGCGCAAGCCUGAUCCAGCCAUGCCGCGUGGGUGAUGAAGGCCCUAGGGUUGUAAAGCCCUUUCGGCGGGGAAGAUAAUGACGGUACCCGCAGAAGAAGCCCCGGCUAACUUCGUGCCAGCAGCCGCGGUAAUACGAAGGGGGCUAGCGUUGCUCGGAAUUACUGGGCGUAAAGCGCACGUAGGCGGCUUCUUAAGUCGGUGGUGAAAUCCUGGAGCUCAACUCCAGAACUGCCUUCGAAACUGGGAAGCUCGAGUCCGGGAGAGGUGAGUGGAACUGCGAGUGUAGAGGUGAAAUUCGUAGAUAUUCGCAAGAACACCAGUGGCGAAGGCGGCUCACUGGCCCGGUACUGACGCUGAGGUGCGAAAGCGUGA